Rhinolophus ferrumequinum (greater horseshoe bat) is the source of this 1079-nucleotide long non-coding RNA. RefSeq lists it as uncharacterized. The transcript is spliced from 3 exons. The record is from RefSeq and is a predicted model, not a curated record. Lineage: Eukaryota; Metazoa; Chordata; Mammalia; Chiroptera; Rhinolophidae.
AGGUGUCAGGUGUGUUGUAUCUCUCCAGUUCACCAUCCCCAUUAAGAGGGGUGGUGGUACUUGAUUCAGUUCCCAGUUGGAUACCCCUAAGAGAUCUACCCGUGACACUUUGGGGUGAGUCUUUCAUUAACGGACUGAUGACUACUUUUUUUUUUUGACUGGCAUUGGUGGAGCAGCAGAUUUGGAGGUACAGAAGGAAGACAAUUGGAAUGUCUUUUCUAAGGAAGAGUCAUUUCUAAUGGCAGAGUUCAUCCCCUCUGUCCCAUUUGAGAGUGGCAGUCAUUUCUGUUUUUCAUAUAGACUGAGGAGAGCUCAGAGACAUUAGUUUGAAUCAUGAGCCAGAUUGCUGGUUCCCCAAGAAAUUGCUCAGUAAUGUAAAAAUACGCUUUCCACAGUUUAUGAGGUGGAUGGUUGUAAUUAGGCAUCCAAAGAUCAUCGAGGGGUCCACAAGCUGGAACUUCGGACUCCCGUGGAUCUUUACAGCUGUCAGAGGCUGGGCAUCCAGGACACCAGGCUGAGAAGCCGGCAGGGCUGAGGGAAUAUGGUGGUGCACCCAACCCAAUCCUCACAAGCCCAAUCUCUACCAGCUCACUGUCUCAGACUCCUUCACUCCUCCACUGAGAAGAGGGGAUUUGUGACGUCAGAAAAAUUAAUGCUAUUUGGCCUCCAUUAAGAAGAUUGGAUACCUGCCCACCACCUUCUUCUGGCAUUUGUCCUAACAGCUGUUCCUUGAACAACGCUAAUUAACAUCUGUACAGAAUGAUUUUUAUUCAUAGAGUUCUGAAGCAUUAAUUUGUGUCAUAGCAUCCCUAAGAGGUAUGCAAGAUCCAGUGGCCGCAGGAAGCUUUAUUAAAUAUUUAAAGACACAGACCACCGAGGCAUGGAAAGCUAUAGCCCUAAGCAAAAUUGCAAAGGAGUGAAUGAAGCUCAUGUUCCGGCUUCACUGCCUCUCUUUUACUGCAAUCCUUUCCUUAUUUACACCCCUCUCUUGGUGCCCAAUAAAUCAGUGGUGGGGUGGUAAAAUCACUGAGCUUGGAGUUAGAGUCUAACUCCACAUUUGCAUUUUGCCUCUAAAUAAA